AGCACAGCCAGAUACAGUCAUGUACAACUAAGAGAAAGUAGGCCAUGCCUGCAUAAUGCAGGACAGUAUCUUGGAGAACAGGAGCUCUGCACAGGAAACAAGGUCCUAUAUGAGCUGUGGUCUUGAGUGGCUUUGGGGGCCCUACUCUCAGCACCACCUUUGAGUGAGACCUUCUGGGUAGGUGGAGGCCAGGGAACCAGGCCUUCUCACAAGCAGCACUGUAGCUCUAAAAUUUCCUUCACAGAAGUGUAUGUCUGGUGCCCUCUUUGUUUUUAAAUGAAGACUGAAAUGUAUUUAUUCCCCGUUGAAAUGUCUGAGGAUUUUAUCAUCUAAAUUGUGAUUUGUUUUAUCUGUUUUUAGUCCCUAUUUUAGCAUUGCUUUGUAUUCUGCAUUAUUGUAUUGCAUUGUUAUUUAUUGGUAGCUGCCUAGGGCUGAAUUGUAGGCAGAGGCAGGAUAUAAAUCAGUAUAUAAAUAACAAACAAACAACGGCCUACAUCCUUACUAAUGCUGCACAUGUGCAGUUAAAAGUGCCCCCCCCCUUCUGAAGCAUGUAUGCUUAUGCACAGAGACGAGGCAAUUUUUGCUGAUCCCCUACGUCCCCAAGAAGUGCUCUGUGUGGCCCGGAAAUGGGUCCCUCAGGACCACACAUAAGAACAGCCCUUCUGGAUCAGGUCCAAGGUCCAUCUAGUCCAGCAUCCUGUUUCACACAGUGGCCCACCAGAUGCCACAGGAAGCCUACAGGCAGGAGCUGAGUGCAAGCCCUCUCUCUUGCUGUUACUCCCCUGCAACUGGUACUCAGAGGCAUCCUGCCUUUGAGGCUAGAGGUGGCCUAUAGCCUUCCGACUAGUAGCCAUUGAUAGACCUCUCCUCCAUGAAGUUAUCCAAACCCUUCUUAAAGCCAUCCAGGUUGUUGGCUGUCACCACAUCUUGUGGCAGAAAAUUCCACAAGUUGAUUAUGUGUUGUGUGAAAAAGUACUUGUGUUUGUUGGACCUAAAUUUCUUGGCAGUCAAUUUCAUGGGAUGACCCCUGGUUCUAGUGUUAUGUGAGAGGAAGAACUUCUCUCUAUCCACUUUCUCCACACCAUGCAUGGUUUUAUAGACCUCUACCGUGUCUGGGACAUACGAAAAAUUUCCUGGGGAAGGAGGUUGUGAUAAUCAACAUACACAAACACACACACACCGGUGCUUCAGCAGCAGGGGCACUGGCCUUGCCCAUGUACCUUUUUUAGUUGCCUGCAUACAGCAUUAGUCAAAUGUCAGGCAGUAUUUACCAAAUAAACUCAGAAAACAAGAGUAAUGCUUAGAAUGAGAUUAAAAGCUUGUAACCCUACUGGCCUCAAGGCCACAAUCUCAAAUAAGAGUAUUAGGUGUGUCACCUCAGUUUAGAGCCCAGUGUGACCUACAAGGCACACACAGAAUGUCUGUUCAUGAGUGUCUCACAUUCACAUUCAUGCCAAGAAAUGGAUUUGCAUCUGUUGUACCCAUUGAAGUAAAUGGUGCAUAGUUUGUAGACUGAGCAGUUUCACAUGAUGUUGAGGCUCCCAGAUCUGCAUCUCAACACUGAACUGUGAGUGUUGUAAUUUUACCAGAAAAUGUAUUAGAAGAAAGAAAAUACAUUUCAUAAUUAAGCUCCAGUGAAAAUUAAUUGCUCUUAAAUUAUGGAUAAUGACUAUAACUAGUGAAUAAUGAAGUACAGAGUAACAACAACAACAACAAUGGCAAGAGAGGUUAUAUUUCAAAGACAAUGCCUAGGCAUAUUGUAAUUAUGACAAAUAUUUUAUGAUCAACAACAUUUCAUACAAAUUUGUAGCAUUCUACUUUAUCAGUCAAACGUUUUUGGAGUAAGAGAAUGCCCAGAAUAUUGCACAUGAUUAAGAAACCUGUUUUGGAUGAAGGAAAGAUGUAUUUUUAUGAUGAGAAACAUAUGAAAGUAGGCUGGUUUUGAUGAUCAAAAACUGGAUAGAACAAGUGUUGUAUCCAGCUUCAGGAGCUGGGUGCACUCCUGAUUUUUGAUUGUGUGCUAGCAAACAACUUGAAAGGAGGAGGAAGUGGUGAUCAUGUGUGAGAGAGAAACUGAGUAGGACAGCUCCAUCCUACCAGCUCUGAUAUUUCCUACAAACUGGUGGAAUAGCAAGAGCAGCAGAUUUCAUGUAAAAAGAGACCCUGGAGGGGGCAAAAUACCAGGACUGUGUCCCUGCCCAUCCCUGUAGCACUACACUACUGGCUCUAUCACAUAUGUCUGGUUGGCAUCCAAUCACAUUCUUACUUUAUCUGCUCAUUUCGUGUGUGUGUGUGUGUGUGUGUGUGUGUGUGUGUUUGCUGUGGCCCAUCAUAGAGAUUUUCAUUCAUUUCUUACAGGGUUGUAACCUUUCUACACCUACCACAACUUUGCAGUUGGUACCAGAGAUUGCUUUAUAACUGGCAGUUUGCAGAGCAUACAUGGGGUGUCCUAUAUUAUUAUCUUUUAGCUCAGCUGAGACAAACCUCCCUUUAAAGUAAGUAAAGUAUUAGCAUAAGGUCAGGUAUGCUAUUAAGCCUCAAGUAUUGUACACUGCCCAGAGCCUUUGGAUGGGGCGGUCCAUAAAUGUAAUAAAUAAUAAAUAAAUAAUAAGUGCUUGUUGAGUGUAGAAGCAGCUAGCUCCUAAUAUAGGAUACAGCUGCAUUCAUCUUCUUAUACUUCUAAGGCCAAGGUUUGACCAAGAUGUAGCCACUUGUGUGAACUUUAAUUUUGUACAUUAAAGGUAUUCAGAGCAGAUUCAGAGCUAUGUGUUUACUAUUCAGCUUAUUUACGUAUUUAAAAUAUUUACACCCCACCCCUCCAGUACACUACUGCUUGGGGCGGCUCACAUUAAUAAAAUAAAUACUAUGUGAAAUAAAAGACUAAUAAAGUUGAACGAGUUAAAAGACCAGGCUAAAACCACAUUUAAAAUUACAUUUUUAAAAAAGAGUUUCCAAAUGAAAAGUUAUUAAUAAAAAACUAAGAACUGAGAACUUACUGGGGUUAACAAGGUUGCAGAGGAAUUUAAAAAUACACAGCAGAUUUGUCAUAGCUCCUACCAGAGGGGGAGUUCACUGGAUGAAUCCUUGACUGAAAGGGAUUCACAGCAGGCUGCCACCAUCCACUUUAAUGUGACAAACCACUCUUUCCAUAUCAGAUUCCUAGAGAGUUAGUGGCAAAACCCUCCCUAGAAGGUGCUGACCUUUGCUAGGCCUCCAGAAGUGUGUGACUAAGGCAGACCCUAAAUGAAGAAUAGUACACUUCACCAACAAGGGUUUAUUAUUAGAUUAAAAGAAAAGCAAGAGUGUGUAAUAAGAACAAUUGUCUCUUCAUAAAGCAGAUUGUAAGAGAGAGUGUUUUCAUUAACCAGGCAACUCAGAUUCAAGCAGAAUACAAUAAAGGAAAUUAACUUCCCUCAUGUGUCUAACUGAAUUGGUCCUUAUCUUAGAACAUAAGAACAGCCCUGCUGGAUCAGGCCCAAGGCCCAUCUAGUUCAGCAUCCUGUUUCACACAGUGGCCCAUCUUCUUACAAGCAGGCAUCUUGCUGCUGCUUCCAGCCUCCAGACUGUGGCUUUCCUGUUUCCCCAGAGGUUUCUCAACCAGCUGCUUCCUCAGGGCACUUCUGGGACAGACCAAACACACAGUACAGAGCUUUCUCUUCUUCUGUAGGUUGAUGUGAGUGUAGUUCCCACCCAGUCCUCUGGAUUGGUCCUUCUGUUUUGAUUUUCCCUGGCUUUUCCUCCUUAUUAGGAAAGGCCCACUCUCCCAACAAUUGCUCUAAGUAAAGCCUAGUCCUCUUUCAAAUCCUUCCCAUCAUACAGGAGUUGAGGAUAAAACGACGAAGCUUGUAUUUAUUUGCAGAAAGAAAAGGGACAAUAGAACAAUCUCCUGUCCAGGAGGAAAACAGAGCUACUUCUUUACAGCUCAAAGACUUAAACAGUUGUGGGAUGCAGAGCAGAUACAGGACUAAAUUCAGAAGUCAAAUCAAAAGUCAAUCAAAAGUCAGCCCACGAACUAGAGACUCCUCCCCUAGGUCAAACCACACAAAUACACAUAGACAUAAAUACUGUCUAGAGAACAGCAUAGACAAUGUACACAAUAGAGGACUUUUCCCCCCAACGAACACAGAUACUAUGACGUUUGGUUUUCUUUUAAAGAUUUAAUCAAAUAUAGGUCCUCCAGAUAUAUGUGCUAGAAAUGUCUCUUCCACCCAGAGAAAUGCAAUGGAAAUAAUUGUUCACAUAUGGAAGUGCCAGUAGGAUACCUUGUAGUAUAGUUUCUUAUUUGGAAGAAGCCAAUGGAUCUGUUUUUUCCAUUGUGACAUUAAUCCAAAAUAUAGCAUAGUAUCUGGUAUCAAGGAGCCUUUUUAAAUAUGCAUUCGUUUUCACAUGUAGAUGGAAAAUAAAUCUUUGGAUGAAAUUUCAUCCAAGUAAGCCACAAAGAGAAGCAAUAGCCCUCUUCAGGGGGGAUACUAUGCACACAUACAAGGUCCCAAAGGUGCUUCCAAAAGUCCUGCCCUGGUGCUUACACACUGAAAAGCAUCACCCUCCUUGUGCUCUCUACGCUUACUGCAUUUUCUGAAGAGGGGUGUCCCAGCCUUCUGAUCACACAAGCAGCCACCAUCAUGCUUGCGGUGAUUGCCUCUUCAGACAAAUGUCAUAAGCAGGGGCGUUGCAAGGUUGGAGUGGGCCCAGAGACAAGAUUUUAAAAUGCCACCCUCCCACGAAGCUCAUAAUGGUACUAGAGAAAGACAUGCUGUUCUGGUAGCUCCAGGUCUUAACACUCACAUCAGUUUGGGAGGAUGAAUACAACUAAAGGAAGCCCAGGCGGCUGCGCGGCUGGGGGAGUCAGUCAUGUGACGUGCCUCGGGGGGGGGCAAGGCAGUGGGCCCCCGACAACUGUCUCCCUUUCCCUAUUAUAGUUACGCCCCGGUCAUAAGCAUGGAGAGUGUGGUGGUGUGAGGCUUCUCAGCUCAUCAGCACCAGGGUGGAGCUGGUUAGGUCUUUGGAUGCUGUACAUGAAUACAGGAUCCAUUUUUUCCAUGUUGAAGAGGGCUCUUGUAUCAACACAAUGUUUCAAAACCAUCUCUCCCUAUAACUAUUAUGUUUAUGGAGUAAAGCUGUUAAUCAUCAUGUUUUGGAUGUAUGUAGCAUUUUUUGAUUGCUCGAGGUGCUUCAUAUAAAUUUUCUCUGUAACAACAGUAGCUCUGUAAGGCAAGUCAGUAUUAUUAUUUCUGUAUUGCAGGUCAUGUUCAUUAGAAUACUGUGUAAAUACUAAAAACAAAAAUGGCAGUGGAAUGAAUGUCCUCUGUUAGGAAAUGAUACCUCCACCAUGCUGCCAUCAGUUCGUUGAAUAAUUGUUGUACUCAGCCUGCUUUUCUGUGUCUGGCAGUAUCUGUCUAGAACAGGGGUGGCCAUGUUCCCCAACUUUUGUUGGACUACAACUCCCAUCAUCCUCAGCCGCACUUGCCACCUCAGGUCUAUACUGUUCACUUCACUAUACUGUUUAUACUGUUACUUCUCUCAUUGGACAAAUUUUCUUAAAUUUCUUAUUUAACAUUGUGCAACAUUUCAAACUCUUCAUGAAUCCACUCAAGUACUAUUUGUGUGACAUUUUAAAAAUUGAAUCUUUGUCUUGUAAGUAUUCAAAGCACAAAACAGUGUCUCUUCAUACAUUACUAGCUUUGUAAAAUAUGUAUCUGCAUUCAAAUACAGAUUUUAUUUUUGUCCAUA
This is a long non-coding RNA of Hemicordylus capensis (graceful crag lizard), 5730 nucleotides long. RefSeq lists it as uncharacterized. NCBI's taxonomy places the organism in Eukaryota, Metazoa, Chordata, Lepidosauria, Squamata, Cordylidae. The transcript is spliced from 2 exons. The record is from RefSeq and is a predicted model, not a curated record.